Molecule: ribosomal RNA, 379 nt
Filed under: uncultured eukaryote
Lineage: Eukaryota
Description: partial 18S ribosomal RNA
Rfam family: Eukaryotic small subunit ribosomal RNA
Source: RNAcentral
CAAUAGCGUAUAUUAAAGUUGUUGCAGUUAAAAAGCUCGUAGUUGAACCUUGGGCCUGGCUGGCCGGUCCGCCUCACCGCGUGCACUGGUUCGGCCGGGCCUUUCCCUCUGGGGAACCGCAUGCCCUUUACUGGGUGUGCCGGGGAACCAGGACUUUUACUGUGAAAAAAUUAGAGUGUUCAAAGCAGGCCUAUGCUCGAAUACAUUAGCAUGGAAUAAUAGAAUAGGACGUGUGGUUCUAUUUUGUUGGUUUCUAGGACCGCCGUAAUGAUUAAUAGGGACAGUCGGGGGCAUCAGUAUUCAAUUGUCAGAGGUGAAAUUCUUGGAUUUAUUGAAGACUAACUACUGCGAAAGCAUUUGCCAAGGAUGUUUUCAUUAA